UGUGUGUGUGUGUGCAAGUGUCCACCAAAUGAUAACUACGAAGAGACGCAGUUCCAAGAUCAACUAUGAUGCAUUGGAGAAACUCUUUGAGGAACCUGGGACUGAGGAUGCCAAGAAACUACGCUGAAUCUCUCUGACAAUGUUGAGAAGUUGUCUAAUACAAAUGGCGAAGAUCUUGAAUUAGAGGACAUGAACCAAAAUGAUGGUUUCGGGUCACAAGAUGAAAACAAGGAUGAUGAUGAUGUUCAAGAAGCAUAUGUCACAAGAUGAAAACAAGGAUGAUGAUGAUGUUCAAGAAGCAUAUGAUG
Molecule: long non-coding RNA, 308 nt
Organism: Populus euphratica (Euphrates poplar)
Lineage: Eukaryota; Viridiplantae; Streptophyta; Magnoliopsida; Malpighiales; Salicaceae
Exons: 3
Source: RefSeq, a predicted model, not a curated record